GUGUAUAUAGAUGAAGCAAACUGAAGGAUAUACUAUCAAAUGUGGAAAAGUUUUGUCAUCUGCAGUAGAUAAUUAGUAUUAAAUGGAUGAUGAAUAAGAUAGCCCUGGAGAAAUUUAGCUAAACAAAAACUUCCCAUUGAUAGGUCUCUUCGCUAAUGGCAGGAGAAGUGGGGGAUAUAUUAUGGUAACGUUUCAUUACCCCCAGCAACGACAUUGCCACUUAGUUACCAAGGUUUAAUAAGCUCUCAUGUUUCUUCUAUUUCAAGUAUCAUGAAAGGAGAUAAAAAAAAAGAUUAAAAACAACAAACGAUCUUGGUAAAUACAUAAUAGAUCAUUCAGUCAUAAAAAUGUAGUGUGACGUUUCUUCUCAUGUCGAUAAAUUCAACCUUUGUCGAGUCUUUCUCAGAUGACUAGAAUUUUAAUGAGCCUGCCUUUUCUCUAUUUUUAUGAUUAUGGAGUGUUUGGUAAGUGGGGUUUAUGAUAAGCAAUACAAGCACUAAACCACGUCUUCACAGAGAUUGCAUCUGAUACAUCGGAAUCAUUUUUUUGUCAAUGGUGGAACAGAAUCCUCCUGGCAUUUGUCAGUAAAGAAACGAGAAACAAACAAACAUGGGAGGUAAGCGAUGGUUUACACAGGGAUAAAGUAACCCCUCAGCAAAGCAAAAAUACGGUCAUUCUGGAAACUGAGUAAUUUUCUGAAGUGUGUGAUUUAUCAAACAGCCAUCAGAAGGCACGGUAGGAGAUUUGGGGGCAGGUGUCCAUUGGGGCUGGAUAUACUUCUGUAAUCAUCAAUUCCACUGGCUUGUCAUCAGCACACAUAGGUGUUCAAGCUUUCAAGACGCUAAAAAAAACCUCCCAGAUAACACAAAAGGGAUAUUAGUUUUAUGCAUGUAUUUUUUACAGAACCAUCUUCUAUUUCUCCGCUUGUGAAAAAUGGUGAUCAAUCUUGGAUAUACAACAUGUUUUCAUUGGAAUUCUGAUGUCAAUAAAUCUGGGUGGAAAUAAUAUUCUAUGCCAGUGACAAGUACUUUUUCUCUAAUGGAAAAGUUUUUUUUCGGGGAGAGAAAAUAAAAAUAUAUCAUUGGGAUGAAGAAUAUUUUUUGGACUGGAGAUUGGAAUUAUCUACCCUGGCAGUCAGUUUGGCUGGUCCCUAUCUUGACUAGUUCCUACUGGAUGAGAAAGCAGGUGAAGAAAUGCAAUUUAUUUGUCAGGGAUUAUACAGGACUUCAAAAUCUCCAAUUGGUUGGCUAAUGGAUAUAACCUGUGAUGGUUUAGAAGGUCCUAAUUGCUUCUAAUGGGCUUGUGGUGUUGCUAAAGCUUACAGCAUGUGGGGUUCACACAACUAGGAGACAUGAACACACAACAUGGGGAGUCGAUUCAAAGACGGAUUAAAAAGGAACAUCAGAUUAAAAUCUUUACAGUAUAUGUGUCUCAGAUUGGAAGAGAGGAAAUUUACCAUCUGCACCUUGAGAAGCAUAAAACCGGCAAAUCCAUUAUGUGGAUCUGGUCAUGAGUGUUUCCAAGGCAACAACAGUUCUGAAGUGAAAUAUGGAUGGUGCUUGGAAACCAGGGAUUACAAUUUUUCCGUCUUCACUCAGGCUCAGCACAGAGAAACCCCAGCACGCCAAAGGAUUAAUUAUGUUCUGCUUUACUGACAAGUCUGACAUGAAUAUUUCAGCAAUUAUCCACCAAACUGAUCAUAGAAGACAAAAGCCAUUGAAGAGACAGCCAACCCAAACGGACCCAUUCCAUGCUGACAAAACAUCCCAUCUUUUUGUGUUUUGGGAGAGGACCUGAAUAAGAUUCACAACCAGCAAUACUAGGUCUACUGAGUGGCUCAUUAAGUUUAUUGGCGUGAAGGAGGCUUGAUUUCAAUUCAUCAAGAUCCCAGAGCAGGCUUUCAUCAAAUUUACCAUGAAAUUUAAUGAAAAAAUGCAUUCCUUUGAGAGAGCAAUGCGAUACUCUACAUUUUGGAUUAUGUGAACAAGAAAUCAUCUAUAAUCAUACACCCUUGUCAAAGGAGAAACCACUAGAUGUUAUCUGUACAAGCAGUGAGAAGGAACACCAUUUCAGAAGUGUACAAUUUCGGGAAAAUGUGUGAUAUAUUCUGAAAUUUAGCAAAAGAGUGAUUAUGCAAUGGAAAUGAAGUUAAACAUCAGGAGGAUUUUUAACCAUGAGAGUACAAAAAAAAAGACAUGAUCGUUUUCAAUAGCAUUUAAUUACUGGAGCUAAAAGAGAUGACUUCACAGGCUUGUGAUCGCAAAUCAAACGGAAUUCAGGCCAUUUUCCUAUUACAAGGUAAGUCAAUACCUCACUUCAUUAAUUUGAUGUUUAUUAUCAAAUAACAAGUUUUUAUAUUUUAUGGGAUUAAUUUCCCCGUUUUUUUUAUUGGAGAAAAAAAAAAUACCUGUUCCUUUUUUUUUAACUGAAUACUAUAGAAUUUCAGACAUUGAUAAACCUUGAGCAAUAUUAACAACCCCUUCUUUGAGAGCUGAUUACUAGGUUGUGUGUAAUGAUCGAUUUCAAAAUUUCAUUUUCUUUCCUAUUCAUCUCUUUGCAACUAGAACUGCCUAAUGAAACAUUCCUGGGAACCCUUGAAAAUGCAAUAGCACAUUGGGUUUCCCAGUCUUAAUCUCUCACCAACCCAGAAGGUCUAACUUAUUUCUCUUGUUCAAAGCAAUAAUUUAAAGCAGCCUUCAAUUUAGUUAUGCUAAUGGACUUUCAAGACUAAUUUCCUGCAAUUUAUCCAUCCUCCUUUUCAUAUCUUUGUAGUCUAACAACUCUACUCUCUGAAUUCUUUUUUCUACAAGUUUUACAAUUUUCUGCUUUCAAUUUGUCAUCGCCAAAAUGCAUUGGAAAAUACACUCUUGUGAAAAUAUUUACUCAAAACUUCCUCCCCAUUAUUUUCAAUUAAUUGGUUUCGGUAAGGCCUAUGCAAACAAACUCAAAUCCAAUUACACUUUAUUUUGAGUGUCUUUGAAGCCUAAACACCCUCUGAUAAUUGGUAUACAUUUAUUUUCUCAAUGUCCCUCUUUUCUUCUAAUCAACACAGGGUUUCAGGAUCAUGUCUAUAACACAAAUGAAGCCUUCUAUUUCCCUUUGGCACCCAACUUAAAAGGAUGUUGAUAAACUAAAUUUGAUCGCUGCAGCCAAGUCAACUUUUCUUCUGCAAUGUUCAAUUACCUUUCUUCCCCCAGAUAUUCAAUUACUUUCCAAAUCAAUUUACCAUCUUCCCCACUGUGCACAAAAUGGAGUUGUUAUUUAUGGAGAUUUUAGUUAUCCUUCUUGCAACGGACAAGAAUUCAAGAGUUGUCUGCUCUUUAAUCAAAUUUCACAAAAGUAGCCAUCUGGAGUUGUCUUUCUUUGUUAAUUUUUCUUCACGCUUUAUAAGAAAUAAACAAAAACAAACAUUUGAUGUAUUACUCCUUUAUUUCAAAGUUUCCUGAAAAUGAACAUGUCCUGUGAUUGGUUAAAAAAGCCGUAGAGAGUUACUUCCCAUUUGUUGUGUUAGUUUGGAAUGAGUACAGACAACAUUUAUAAAUUGCUUUAGCAGAAGCUUAUAAGCAAAGGAAAAUAGUAAUAUAGGGUUAAUACUACAAACAAGUCAGGACUUUGUCUAAGUGGUUAAAUCUCCUGAUUAAUAUGACAUACAAUUAGAUGGAAUGUUUUGUGAAGAAAUUAA
Molecule: long non-coding RNA, 3682 nt
Organism: Saccostrea echinata
Lineage: Eukaryota; Metazoa; Mollusca; Bivalvia; Ostreida; Ostreidae
Exons: 6
Source: RefSeq, a predicted model, not a curated record